GGAGAGAUUCCCAUAGCGGCCCAAUGGGGAUCGGAGACACCUCCGAUCAGGGGUUCUGCCCCACGCAGGUUCGAAUCCUGCUCUCUCCGCCA
RNAcentral lists this transfer RNA (92 nucleotides) under Streptomyces triticiradicis. RNAcentral describes it as "Streptomyces sp. NEAU-H2 tRNA-Cys". It matches the Rfam family "tRNA". From Rfam's summary of the family: Transfer RNA (tRNA) molecules are approximately 80 nucleotides in length. Their secondary structure includes four short double-helical elements and three loops (D, anti-codon, and T loops). RNAcentral also lists the same sequence under 1 other name. Lineage: Bacteria; Bacillati; Actinomycetota; Actinomycetes; Kitasatosporales; Streptomycetaceae. The record is from RNAcentral.